AACAGCUCUACUAGAGUUGUCUAGCAUGUUCUGUGAGAUGAGGCCAUCACCAUGUGACCAACAAGAAGUAAAGUGAGAUUGUGCAUCAGGGAUAGAAAACAGUGCUGACACAUACUCCACAGUCUAGCAUCCUCUAUUCCUCUGAGAAGAUUCUAUUUAGGAGGCUAAAAACAGGCUCUAUUCCUAAUUUUUGUCAGUUUUAAGUAUUAGCAGGUAUAUGAAUGCCUGCUGUAAGCAAGCUCAUGUUAUUUAAAACCACCAAAAGGGAUCUUUAAAAAUAAACAAGACAGUGACAUUUGGUUUACUUACUAUGACAGUUCCACUUGACAAAAAUAAAGAGUAUAUUUAAGCUCUUGUGUUUCCUUAUCUAAAAUGUAGCACUGUGAAUGUAGAAACCAAGUCUAUAAAUAGUAAGGGAAUAGUUAGAAAGUGUUUAAAGGAGAAUUACUAAAAAUAUUGCCAUGAAGCUGGAAAGGGCUGGGAAAAUACUGUACAUAUCCAGAAUAAUAAUUCUCUUCUCUCCUUUGCAGUGGUUUCUUAAAUUUCCUUUAAGAAAAUGGAACUGGAAUAUAG
This 573-nucleotide long non-coding RNA is filed under the name Marmota monax (woodchuck). Lineage: Eukaryota; Metazoa; Chordata; Mammalia; Rodentia; Sciuridae. The record is from RNAcentral.